GAUGAACGCUGGCGGCGUGCUUAACACAUGCAAGUCGAACGGAAAGGCUCCUGCUUGCAGGGGUACUCGAGUGGCGAACGGGUGAGUAACACGUGGGUGAUCUGCCCUGCACUUCGGGAUAAGCCUGGGAAACUGGGUCUAAUACCGGAUAGGACCACGGUUUGGAUGCCAGGGUGGAAAGUUUUUCGGUGGGGGAUGAGCUCGCGGCCUAUCAGCCUGUUGGUGGGGUAAUGGCCUACCAAGGCGUCGACGGGUAGCCGGCCUGAGAGGGUGGACGGCCACAUUGGGACUGAGAUACGGCCCAGACUCCUACGGGAGGCAGCAGUGGGGAAUAUUGCACAAUGGGCGGAAGCCUGAUGCAGCGACGCCGCGUGGGGGAUGACGGCCUUCGGGUUGUAAACUCCUUUCGCUAGGGACGAAGCGCAAGUGACGGUACCUGGUGAAGAAGCACCGGCUAACUACGUG
This 465-nucleotide ribosomal RNA is filed under the name uncultured bacterium. RNAcentral describes it as "partial 16S ribosomal RNA". It matches the Rfam family "Bacterial small subunit ribosomal RNA", at positions 28 to 507 of the family's 1533-position model. The record is from RNAcentral.